Molecule: transfer RNA, 64 nt
Filed under: Bison bonasus (European bison)
Lineage: Eukaryota; Metazoa; Chordata; Mammalia; Artiodactyla; Bovidae
Description: partial tRNA-Pro
Source: RNAcentral
CUGCAGUCUCACCAUCAACCCCCAAAGCUGAAGUUCUAUUUAAACUAUUCCCUGAACACUCUUA